CUCUUUUAUUUUUGCUUGCAUCGUUCCCUUUUCUCUUGCUCUCAACUCUCUCCUUCAUCACUCACCUCUGUACGCCAUCCAUGAUCGCCUAACCCCAAAGAGUCACCGAGACUCCACUGCGUUUGUACAACCCAGGCGAUGACGACCUUCGGUUGCUUGGAGGUUCGGUUGAUAUCUUGGCUCGACCAUAGUGUGAGGGUGAAGCUCGGCUGGUUAGGCGACGGCGGUUGGUGUUGACAGCGUGCACUGUUGCGGCUGUCAUUUAGGGUUAUAAAACCCUAAUAUUACCGGGUUGGAUCCGGGUCACAAGUCGGGUUACUGGACUCGGGUCAGAUAUGCUGUUGGGUGUUGUUUGGGUCUUGAGACUUGUAAUCUCGGCUCUUGAUCUGCUGGGUUUUGGUAUAAUGUGGGCCUGCAAACAUUGUAACCAAAA
Molecule: long non-coding RNA, 433 nt
Organism: Hibiscus syriacus
Lineage: Eukaryota; Viridiplantae; Streptophyta; Magnoliopsida; Malvales; Malvaceae
Exons: 3
Source: RefSeq, a predicted model, not a curated record